AUUGAACGCUGGCGGCAGGCUUAACACCUGCAAGUCUAGCGAGAGGCGGAAGGGUGAGUACUGUCUGCGAAACUGCCUGAUGGCGGGGGAUAACUACUGGAAACGGUAGCUACUACCGCCAAACAUCCAAUGUGCCCCGAUGGGAUUAGCUAGUAGGUGGGGUAAUGGCUCACCUAGGCGACGAUCCCUAGCUGGUCUGAGAGGAUGACCAGCCACACUGGAACGGAGACACAGUCCAGACUCCUACGGGAGGGAGCAGUGGGGAAGAUUGCACAAUGGGCGCAAGCCUGAUGCAGCCAUGACGCGUGUGUGAAGAAGGCCGUCGGGUUGUAAAGCACUGUCAGCGAGGAGGCGUUACUCGCAGAAGAAGCACGGGCUAACUCCGGGGCAGCAGCCGCGGUAAUUC
RNAcentral lists this ribosomal RNA (406 nucleotides) under uncultured bacterium. RNAcentral's name for it is "partial 16S ribosomal RNA". It matches the Rfam family "Bacterial small subunit ribosomal RNA", at positions 29 to 526 of the family's 1533-position model. The record is from RNAcentral.